UUAAGCGACUAAGCGUACACGGUGGAUGCCCUGGCAGUCAGAGGCGAUGAAGGACGUGCUAAUCUGCGAAAAGCGUCGGUAAGGUGAUAUGAACCGUUAUAACCGGCGAUGUCCGAAUGGGGAAACCCAGUGCAAUUCGUUGCACUAUCGUUAACUGAAUACAUAGGUUAACGAGGCGAACCGGGGGAACUGAAACAUCUAAGUACCCCGAGGAAAAGAAAUCAACCGAGAUUCCCCCAGUAGCGGCGAGCGAACGGGGAGCAGCCCAGAGUCUGAAUCAGCUUGUGUGUUAGUGGAACGGUCUGGAAAGUCCGACGGUACAGGGUGAUAGUCCCGUACACCAAAAUGCACAGGCUGUGAACUCGAAGAGUAGGGCGGGACACGUGGUAUCCUGUCUGAAUAUGGGGGGACCAUCCUCCAAGGCUAAAUACUCCUGACUGACCGAUAGUGAACCAGUACCGUGAGGGAAAGGCGAAAAGAACCCCGGCGAGGGGAGUGAAAAAGAACCUGAAACCGUGUACGUACAAGCAGUGGGAGCACCUUCGGGUGUGACUGCGUACCUUUUGUAUAAUGGGUCAGCGACUUAUAUUCUGUAGCAAGGUUAACCGUAUAGGGGAGCCGCAGGGAAACCGAGUCUUAACUGGGCGUUAAGUUGCAGGGUAUAGACCCGAAACCCGGUGAUCUAGCCAUGGGCAGGUUGAAGGUUGGGUAACACUAACUGGAGGACCGAACCGACUAAUGUUGAAAAAUUAGCGGAUGACUUGUGGCUGGGGGUGAAAGGCCAAUCAAACCGGGAGAUAGCUGGUUCUCCCCGAAAGCUAUUUAGGUAGCGCCUCGUGAAUUCAUCUUCGGGGGUAGAGCACUGUUUCGGCUAGGGGGUCAUCCCGACUUACCAACCCGAUGCAAACUACGAAUACCGAAGAAUGUUAUCACGGGAGACACACGGCGGGUGCUAACGUCCGUCGUGAAGAGGGAAACAACCCAGACCGCCAGCUAAGGUCCCAAAGUCAUGGUUAAGUGGGAAACGAUGUGGGAAGGCACAGACAGCCAGGAUGUUGGCUUAGAAGCAGCCAUCAUUUAAAGAAAGCGUAAUAGCUCACUGGUCGAGUCGGCCUGCGCGGAAGAUGUAACGGGGCUAAACCAUGCACCGAAGCUGCGGCAGCGACACUAUGUGUUGUUGGGUAGGGGAGCGUUCUGUAAGCCUGCGAAGGUGACCUGUGAGGGUUGCUGGAGGUAUCAGAAGUGCGAAUGCUGACAUAAGUAACGAUAAAGCGGGUGAAAAGCCCGCUCGCCGGAAGACCAAGGGUUCCUGUCCAACGUUAAUCGGGGCAGGGUGAGUCGACCCCUAAGGCGAGGCCGAAAGGCGUAGUCGAUGGGAAACAGGUUAAUAUUCCUGUACUUGGUGUUACUGCGAAGGGGGGACGGAGAAGGCUAUGUUAGCCGGGCGACGGUUGUCCCGGUUUAAGCAUGUAGGCUGAUUGUCCAGGCAAAUCCGGAUAAUCAAGGCUGAGGUGUGAUGACGAGGCACUACGGUGCUGAAGUAACAAAUGCCCUGCUUCCAGGAAAAGCCUCUAAGCAUCAGGUAACAUCAAAUCGUACCCCAAACCGACACAGGUGGUCAGGUAGAGAAUACCAAGGCGCUUGAGAGAACUCGGGUGAAGGAACUAGGCAAAAUGGUGCCGUAACUUCGGGAGAAGGCACGCUGGUGUGUAGGUGAAGUCCCUGCGGAUGGAGCUGAGACCAGUCGAAGAUACCAGCUGGCUGCAACUGUUUAUUAAAAACACAGCACUGUGCAAACACGAAAGUGGACGUAUACGGUGUGACGCCUGCCCGGUGCCGGAAGGUUAAUUGAUGGGGUUAUCCGUAAGGAGAAGCUCUUGAUCGAAGCCCCGGUAAACGGCGGCCGUAACUAUAACGGUCCUAAGGUAGCGAAAUUCCUUGUCGGGUAAGUUCCGACCUGCACGAAUGGCGUAAUGAUGGCCAGGCUGUCUCCACCCGAGACUCAGUGAAAUUGAACUCGCUGUGAAGAUGCAGUGUACCCGCGGCAAGACGGAAAGACCCCGUGAACCUUUACUAUAGCUUGACACUGAACAUUGAGCCUUGAUGUGUAGGAUAGGUGGGAGGCUUUGAAGCGUGGACGCCAGUCUGCGUGGAGCCAACCUUGAAAUACCACCCUUUAAUGUUUGAUGUUCUAACGUUGGCCCCUGACCGGGGUUGCGGACAGUGUCUGGUGGGUAGUUUGACUGGGGCGGUCUCCUCCCAAAGCGUAACGGAGGAGCACGAAGGUUAGCUAAUCCUGGUCGGACAUCAGGAGGUUAGUGCAAUGGCAUAAGCUAGCUUGACUGCGAGCGUGACGGCGCGAGCAGGUGCGAAAGCAGGUCAUAGUGAUCCGGUGGUUCUGAAUGGAAGGGCCAUCGCUCAACGGAUAAAAGGUACUCCGGGGAUAACAGGCUGAUACCGCCCAAGAGUUCAUAUCGACGGCGGUGUUUGGCACCUCGAUGUCGGCUCAUCACAUCCUGGGGCUGAAGUAGGUCCCAAGGGUAUGGCUGUUCGCCAUUUAAAGUGGUACGCGAGCUGGGUUUAGAACGUCGUGAGACAGUUCGGUCCCUAUCUGCCGUGGGCGCUGGAGAAUUGAGGGGGGCUGCUCCUAGUACGAGAGGACCGGAGUGGACGCAUCACUGGUGUUCGGGUUGUCAUGCCAAUGGCACUGCCCGGUAGCUAAAUGCGGAAGAGAUAAGUGCUGAAAGCAUCUAAGCACGAAACUUGCCCCGAGAUGAGUUCUCCCUGAGACUUUAAGUCUCCUGAAGGAACGUUNGACGUUGAUAGGCCGGGUGUGUAAGCGCAGCGAUGCGUUGAGCUAACCGGUACUAAUGAACCGUGAGGCUUAACCUU
RNAcentral lists this ribosomal RNA (2892 nucleotides) under Klebsiella pneumoniae. Its description in RNAcentral is "bacterial LSU rRNA". It matches the Rfam family "Bacterial large subunit ribosomal RNA". Lineage: Bacteria; Pseudomonadati; Pseudomonadota; Gammaproteobacteria; Enterobacterales; Enterobacteriaceae. The record is from RNAcentral.